UGAACGCUGGCGGCGUGCUUAACACAUGCAAGUCGAACGGUAACAGAAGAGAGCUUGCUCUUUUGCUGACGAGUGGCGCACGGGUGAGUAAUAUAUAGAUAACGUGCCUCUUAGUCUGGGAUAGCCAUUGGAAACGAUGAUUAAUACUAGAUACUCCUUCUCAUUAUAAUUUGAGUCGGGAAAGUUUUUCGCUAAGAGAUCGGUCUAUAUCCCAUCAGUUAGUUGGUAAGGUAACGGCUUACCAAGGCAAUGACGGGUAGCGGGUUUGAGAGGAUGAUCCGCCACACUGGUACUGAGACACGGACCAGACUCCUACGGGAGGCAGCAGUGAGGAAUAUUGCACAAUGGAGGAAACUCUGAUGCAGCAACGCCGCGUGGAGGAUGACGCAUUUCGGUGUGUAAACUCCUUUUAUAAGGGAAGAAAAUGACGGUACCUUAUGAAUAAGCACCGGCUAACUCC
This 460-nucleotide ribosomal RNA is filed under the name uncultured bacterium. RNAcentral's name for it is "bacterial SSU rRNA". It matches the Rfam family "Bacterial small subunit ribosomal RNA", at positions 30 to 504 of the family's 1533-position model. The record is from RNAcentral.